RNAcentral lists this ribosomal RNA (428 nucleotides) under Actinomycetes bacterium. RNAcentral describes it as "Actinobacteria bacterium partial 16S ribosomal RNA". It matches the Rfam family "Bacterial small subunit ribosomal RNA", at positions 355 to 776 of the family's 1533-position model. Lineage: Bacteria; Bacillati; Actinomycetota; Actinomycetes. The record is from RNAcentral.
UGGGGAAUUGUUCGCAAUGGGCGCAAGCCUGACGACGCAACGCCGCGUGGAGGAUGAAGGUCUUCGGAUUGUAAACUCCUGUUGCCCGGGACGAAUGGCUUCGACCUAACACGUCGAAGUUUGACGGUACCGGGUGAGGAAGCCCCGGCUAACUCUGUGCCAGCAGCCGCGGUAAUACAGAGGGGGCAAGCGUUGUUCGGAAUUACUGGGCGUAAAGGGCGCGUAGGCGGCCUUCUAAGUCGAACGUGAAAUCCCCGGGCUCAACCCGGGAACUGCGUCCGAUACUGGAAGGCUUGAAUCCGGGAGAGGGAUGCGGAAUUCCAGGUGUAGCGGUGAAAUGCGUAGAUAUCUGGAGGAACACCGGUGGCGAAGGCGGCAUCCUGGACCGGUAUUGACGCUGAGGCGCGAAAGCCAGGGGAGCAAACGGG